Molecule: transfer RNA, 71 nt
Filed under: Marmota monax (woodchuck)
Lineage: Eukaryota; Metazoa; Chordata; Mammalia; Rodentia; Sciuridae
Description: tRNA.Ala
Rfam family: tRNA
About the family: Transfer RNA (tRNA) molecules are approximately 80 nucleotides in length. Their secondary structure includes four short double-helical elements and three loops (D, anti-codon, and T loops). Further hydrogen bonds mediate the characteristic L-shaped molecular structure. tRNAs have two regions of fundamental functional importance: the anti-codon, which is responsible for specific mRNA codon recognition, and the 3' end, to which the tRNAs corresponding amino acid is attached (by aminoacyl-tRNA synthetases). tRNAs cope with the degeneracy of the genetic code in two manners: having more than one tRNA (with a specific anti-codon) for a particular amino acid; and 'wobble' base-pairing, i.e. permitting non-standard base-pairing at the 3rd anti-codon position.
Source: RNAcentral
CUGGGGCUGGGGCUCAGUGGUAGAGUGCUUGCCUCGCAUGCAAGGCACUGGGUUCGAUCCUCAGUACCAUA